AAUUUAAAGUCUAAUCUGCCCACUGAUAAUAUAUUAAAGGGCUGCAGUAUAUUGACUGUACAAAGGUAGCAUAAUCAUUAGCCUUUUAAUUGAAGACUUGUAUGAAAGAUUUGAUGAAAUAUAAACUGUCUCUAAUUUAUGUUUAGAAAUUAAUUUUUUAGUUAAAAAGCUAAAAUGACAUUAAAAGACGAGAAGACCCUAUAGAGUUUUAUAUUUUAUUUAAUUAAUAUUAAAUAUAUAAUUAAAUAUAUUAAUUAAAUAAAUUAUUGUGUUGGGGUGAUAGAAAAAUUUAAUAAACUUUUUUUAAAUUUAAACAUAAAUAAGUGGUUGAUUGAUCCAUUAAUAAUGAUUAAAAGAAAGAAUUACCUUAGGGAUAACAGCGUAAUAUUUUUUUUUAGUACUUAUAAAAAAAAAAGUUUGCGACCUCGAUGUUGGAUUAAGAUAAAAUUUAAAUGCAAAAGUUUAAAGUUUUGAUCUGUUCGAUCAUUAAAAUCUUACAUG
RNAcentral lists this ribosomal RNA (501 nucleotides) under Junonia lemonias. Its description in RNAcentral is "partial 16S ribosomal RNA". The stretch from base 373 to 501 matches the Rfam family "Bacterial large subunit ribosomal RNA", at positions 2473 to 2602 of the family's 2925-position model. Lineage: Eukaryota; Metazoa; Arthropoda; Insecta; Lepidoptera; Nymphalidae. The record is from RNAcentral.